GACGAACCGUGCGAACGUUGUUCGGAAUCACUGGGCUUAAAGGGCGCGUAGGCGGGCCUCCAAGUCCGGGGUGAAAUCCUCCAGCCUAACUGGAGAAGAGCCUCGGAGACUGGGGGUCUUGAGGGAGGUAGGGGCGUGCGGAACUAUGGGUGGAGCGGUGAAAUGCAUUGAUAUCCAUAGGAACUCCGGUGGCGAAGGCGGCACGCUGGACCUCUUCUGACGCUGAGGCGCGAAAGCCAGGGGAGCAAACGGG
This 253-nucleotide ribosomal RNA is filed under the name uncultured bacterium. RNAcentral's name for it is "partial 16S ribosomal RNA". It matches the Rfam family "Bacterial small subunit ribosomal RNA", at positions 524 to 776 of the family's 1533-position model. The record is from RNAcentral.